Molecule: ribosomal RNA, 482 nt
Filed under: uncultured bacterium
Lineage: Bacteria
Description: partial 16S ribosomal RNA
Rfam family: Bacterial small subunit ribosomal RNA
Source: RNAcentral
AUUGAACGCUGGCGGCAUGCCUUACACAUGCAAGUCGAACGGUAACGGGCCUUCGGGUGCCGACGAGUGGCGAACGGGUGAGUAAUACAUCGGAACGUGCCCGAUCGUGGGGGAUAACGAGGCGAAAGCUUUGCUAAUACCGCAUACGAUCUACGGAUGCAAGCAGGGGACCGCAAGGCCUUGCGCGGACGGAGCGGCCGAUGGCAGAUUAGGUAGUUGGUGGGAUAAAAGCUUACCAAGCCGACGAUCUGUAGCUGGUCUGAGAGGAUGAUCAGCCACACUGGGACCGAGACACGGCCCAGACUCCUACGGGAGGCAGCAGUGGGGAAUUUUGGACAAUGGGCGCAAGCCUGAUCCAGCCAUGCCGCGUGCAGGAUGAAGGCCUUCGGGUUGUAAACUGCUUUUGUACGGAACGAAAAGCCUUCUUUUAAUACAGGAGGGUCAUGACGGUACCGGAAGAAUAAGCACCGGCUAACUACGUG